CAGCAGCCGCGGGAAUACAGAGGAUGCAAGCGUUAUCCGGAAUGAUUGGGCGUAAAGCGUCUGUAGGUGGCUUUUCAAGUCCGCCGUCAAAUCCCAGGGCUCAACCCUGGACAGGCGGUGGAAACUACCAAGCUGGGGUACGGUAGGGGCAGAGGGAAUUUCCAGUGGAGCGGUGAAAUGCGUUGAGAUCGAAAAGAACACCAACAGCGAAAGCACUCUGCUGGGACGACACUGACACUAAGAGACGAAAGCUAGGGGAGCAAAUGGGAUUAGAUACCCCCGUAGUCCCUGUCUCUUAUAA
Molecule: ribosomal RNA, 301 nt
Filed under: uncultured bacterium
Lineage: Bacteria
Description: partial 16S ribosomal RNA
Rfam family: Bacterial small subunit ribosomal RNA
Source: RNAcentral